UAGUUUGAUCAUGGCUCAGAUUGAACGCUGGCGGCAGGCCUAACACAUGCAAGUCGAGCGGUAACAUUUCUAGCUUGCUAGAAGAUGACGAGCGGCGGACGGGUGAGUAAUGCCUGGGAAUUUGCCCAGUUGUGGGGGAUAACUAUUGGAAACGAUAGCUAAUACCGCAUAAACCCUACGGGGAAAAGAGGGGGCUCUUCGGACCUCUCGCAAUUGGAUAAGCCCAGGUGGGAUUAGCUAGUAGGUGAGGUAAUGGCUCACCUAGGCGACGAUCCCUAGCUGUUCUGAGAGGAUGAUCAGCCACACUGGGACUGAGACACGGCCCAGACUCCUACGGGAGGCAGCAGUGGGGAAUAUUGCACAAUGGGCGCAAGCCUGAUGCAGCCAUGCCGCGUGUGUGAAGAAGGCCUUCGGGUUGUAAAGCACUUUCAGCGAGGAGGAAAGGUUGGUUGUUAAUAGCAGCCAGCUGUGACGUUACUCGCAGAAGAAGGACCGGCUAACUCCGUGCCAGCAGCCGCGGUAAUACGGAGGGUCCGAGCGUUAAUCGGAAUUACUGGGCGUAAAGCGUGCGCAGGCGGUUUGUUAAGUCAGAUGUGAAAGCCCCGGGCUCAACCUGGGAGUUGCAUUUGAAACUGGCAAACUAGAGCCCUGUAGAGGGGGGUAGAAUUUCA
Molecule: ribosomal RNA, 671 nt
Filed under: uncultured Vibrionaceae bacterium
Lineage: Bacteria; Pseudomonadati; Pseudomonadota; Gammaproteobacteria; Vibrionales; Vibrionaceae
Description: bacterial SSU rRNA
Rfam family: Bacterial small subunit ribosomal RNA
Source: RNAcentral